Molecule: ribosomal RNA, 743 nt
Filed under: uncultured bacterium
Lineage: Bacteria
Description: bacterial SSU rRNA
Rfam family: Bacterial small subunit ribosomal RNA
Source: RNAcentral
AGAGUUUGAUCUGGCUCAGAACGAACGCUGGCGGCAGGCUUAACACAUGCAAGUCGAACGCGUGUAGCAAUACACGAGUGGCGCACGGGUGAGUAACGCGUGGAUAUCUGCCUUUUGGUUCGGAAUAACCCCGGGAAACUGGGGCUAAUACCGGAUGGUUCCUACGGGAUAAAGAUUUAUCGCCAAAAGAUGAGUCCGCGUACGAUUAGCUAGUUGGUGAGGUAAUGGCUCACCAAGGCGACGAUCGUUAGCUGGUCUGAGAGGACGAUCAGCCACACUGGGACUGAGACACGGCCCAGACUCCUACGGGAGGCAGCAGUGGGGAAUAUUGGACAAUGGGGGCAACCCUGAUCCAGCCAUGCCGCGUGAGUGAUGAAGGCCUUCGGGUUGUAAAGCUCUUUUGGCGGGGACGAUGAUGACGGUACCCGCAGAAUAAGCCCCGGCUAACUUCGUGCCAGCAGCCGCGGUAAGACGAAGGGGGCUAGCGUUGUUCGGAAUUACUGGGCGUAAAGCGUGUGUAGGUGGUUGUCAUAGUCAGGUGUGAAAGCCUUGAGCUCAACUCAAGAAAUGCACUUGAUACUGGGCGACUAGAGGACCGGAGAGGAUAGUGGAAUUCCCAGUGUAGUGGUGAAAUACGUAGAGAUUGGGAAGAACACCAGUGGCGAAGGCGGCUAUCUGGACGGUUUCUGACACUAAGACACGAAAGCGUGGGGAGCAAACAGGAUUAGAUACCCUAGUAGUCC